This is a non-coding RNA of Podarcis lilfordi (Lilford's wall lizard), 78 nucleotides long. Lineage: Eukaryota; Metazoa; Chordata; Lepidosauria; Squamata; Lacertidae. The record is from the annotation of a GenBank genome assembly.
ACCCGGAUAGCUCAGUCGGUAGCAGAACAUGAGACUCUUAAUAUUAGGGGCGUGUGGGUUCGAGCCCCAUGUAGGGCA